Molecule: microRNA precursor, 95 nt
Filed under: Microtus ochrogaster (prairie vole)
Lineage: Eukaryota; Metazoa; Chordata; Mammalia; Rodentia; Cricetidae
Description: microRNA 221 (ENSMOCG00000007697.1)
Rfam family: mir-221 microRNA precursor family (bases 10-93)
Source: RNAcentral
AUCCAGGUCUGGGGCAUGAACCUGGCAUACAAUGUAGAUUUCUGUGUUUAUAAGGGAACAGCUACAUUGUCUGCUGGGUUUCAGGCUACCUGGAA